This 464-nucleotide ribosomal RNA is filed under the name uncultured bacterium. RNAcentral describes it as "bacterial SSU rRNA". It matches the Rfam family "Bacterial small subunit ribosomal RNA", at positions 189 to 644 of the family's 1533-position model. The record is from RNAcentral.
GGAGGAAGUAGGGGAUCGCAAGACCUUGCGCUAUUGGAGCGGCCGAUGCCUGAUUAGCUUGUUGGUGAGGUAAAAGCUCACCAAGGCUUCGAUCAGUAGCUGGUCUGAGAGGACGACCAGCCACACUGGGACUGAGACACGGCCCAGACUCCUACGGGAGGCAGCAGUGGGGAAUUUUGGACAAUGGGGGAAACCCUGAUCCAGCCAUGCCGCGUGAGUGAAGAAGGCCUUCGGGUUGUAAAGCUCUUUCAGCCGGAACGAAACGGUUACGGUUAAUACCCGUGACUACUGACGGUACCGGAAGAAGAAGCACCGGCUAACUACGUGCCAGCAGCCGCGGUAAUACGUAGGGUGCGAGCGUUAAUCGGAAUUACUGGGCGUAAAGCGUGCGCAGGCGGUUUUGUAAGUCAGAUGUGAAAUCCCCGGGCUUAACCUGGGAACUGCGUUUGAAACUACAAAGCUAG